Molecule: ribosomal RNA, 322 nt
Filed under: uncultured eukaryote
Lineage: Eukaryota
Description: partial 18S ribosomal RNA
Rfam family: Eukaryotic small subunit ribosomal RNA
Source: RNAcentral
CCCUUAGAUGUUCUGGGCCGCACGCGUGCUACACUGAGUGGAUCAGCGGGUCAGGUUACGCGAGAGCGUUUCCUAAUCUCCAAAUCCGCUCGUGAUGGGGAUUGACGGUUGCAAUUUUCCGUCAUGAACGAGGAAUACCUUGUAAGCGCGGGUCAUCAUCCCGCGCUGAAUACGUCCCUGCCCUUUGUACACACCGCCCGUCGCUCCUACCGAUUGAGUGGUCCGGUGAGGCUUUGGGAUCUAAGCGAAAAGAGCGUUUCGCUCCUUUUGCUGGGAGAACUCAGUCGAACCUUAUCAUUUAGAGGAAGGAGAAGUCGUAACA